Molecule: long non-coding RNA, 6286 nt
Organism: Cygnus olor (mute swan)
Lineage: Eukaryota; Metazoa; Chordata; Aves; Anseriformes; Anatidae
Exons: 3
Source: RefSeq, a predicted model, not a curated record
UACCAGUGGAGCUUCCUGUGGGCAGAUAAGUUAAAAAAUGAACAUGCAGAACACAUCCUGCAAGCCAGCAGCAAGGAAUCUGGUAUUAGACAUUAGAGGGCUAUGGAUGGUCUACAGGUUGGAGUGCCACCUGAACAUAUUCUUUCUACCACAAGGAAGACUAUGGCCAGUCCUCCAGCAAGACACAACAUCACUUCAAUGCUGCACAGUGUCUACAGGUUUAAUUGGAUUCUUGGCUUACCUAGUUUCUGAGAGCAACUUCAUCCAACACGGGCAGCGUCCUACCAGCAGUUUUGCUUGGUGAACUCUUUCCCAGAGGUUCAAGUCAGAUUAGAAGAUUAGGGAACCUAGGCAGAGUUUGUGGGUGCAGGCCCUACCAAGUGGAGUCUGUUCACACACAAGUAUGGGUCUGCGGCCACUCUACCUAAUGGCUGCCCUUGCCGGGUCCUGUGGGCAGCAUUCUCCAGUGCCAAAACUCCUCACUCAUUCUCUUAUGUGAUACAAAUGAUUCCUGCUCUCUGCUCAUAGUCUCUAUGCUCUGUAGUCUUUUGCAGGUUUUCAGACCCAAGUUAGCUGUAGCAAGUCAUUGCUGCUCUUAAUUGGAUUGGUAAUUAAGCCCCAGGUGGUUCCCUUGGUUGUAUUCAGGCUUGUCUUCCUGGAUGUCAAGAUGUCAAGCCUUCUUACAUCAGCUAUCACUUAAAAACAAGCACUUAGGAACUCACUUACUUGGCUGGACUGAAGGAUAUUGUUAUUUAAUACCACUUUUUGCUUUUAGCAGAUUUGAUUUAACAGUGCUGUUAUACCUCCCAGCACAAGAACAUAAAUGGUUAUCUUAGAAAAAUUUGUCUGAUAGCUCAAGUUUCAAGUAAUCGCAUAAAGAAGUGUGGAAGCGUUCUUGCAGUGACUCAAAAACAGUGCAAAACCUUCCAGGUAAUAAAGUUGUAAUUCGCUCUCAAAACCGGCAUACUCACUCAGGAGCUGAGUCCACCAAGAGAUGGCAUUUGCACUGUGUUUGGCUAGUGCUAUAAACUAGUGGUAGCACAUUUAUGUACUAAAGACUUUUUACUGUAAGUCGUUUUUAAUGUAAAAGACAUUUUAUAAAACAGUAGGGGAAAUGUUUGCCUGAGCUUAGUCAAAGAUGAGAUCAUUAGGUACUGGCACAAAGAAAUGGGGAAUAUGAAGAAUUUCUUAACAUGGAGAGAAAGGCAGUCGGAAAUUUUUUUACAAUCUCAGAGUUGCAGCCAGAAUGUGUAAGCAUUUUUUCUUGUAUAUUUUUCCUCACAUUAUAGUGGAAUAGGGUGUAGAGUAUUGCUUUUAAAGUAGAACAGUAACACAAGUUGUAAAAAACAGUUGUCGAAGCUUACAUAAAAUCAAAAGGCCAUUCAAGGCAAAUAAUAUCAUCUAUUCCUUCUGUUAAAUGGCAGUUUAGCUAUUCAUAGGCAGUUUGUGAGACAAGUUGAAAAUCAGGAGAAAAUGAGAUCAUAUUUGUCGGUUUCUGUUUAUUGUUCAUUAGCUUGCUUAUGUUGCAACUAUUUACAUAUUUUUGGCAUUCACAGAAGAAAUAAAAUUCAUAGUGUUUUGGUGAAAAGAACUCAGCUAGGGAAAUAAAAAAUCUAGUUAUGCUGCAUUUACUUCACUUUGUAUGUGUAUAAAUGCAAGAUUUAGGUGCUUAGAGUUGGUAAUGAACAUUUGUAAUGCAUGUUAAAAUCUUAUAAUCCAUUGUUUCAUCUUUUUAAAUAGGGAGUUUCCUAUGUUCAUAUUUUACGAACAGGCAGGGUUUCAGCUCAAGCAGAGCUUAUGUGAGAACACAGAAGGAGAGAGGACGUGAUGAAUCUGUUGAUGUCUUCUUUAAGCGUGUUUUUUGUGGAAGACAAUGUUCAAAACCUAAUCCUUAGAAAGCAAAUGACUACUCAUUUUUCACUGAGUCUCUGAUUUCCAUUAUGUGAUCUACUUACCUCUUGUUUUCUGAGUAAUUAUGUGCUUCAAAAAUGUCAAAUGAUGUGAAGUGAGGUUUAUUAAAGAUUGGGCACUGUGCAACGUAUACUGUCUUGACUAUCAAAAUUAAAAAAUGAAAAAGUCCAUUUUUCAAAUAGGAGUCAGUGCAAGGGACAAAAAGGUAUGCAGGUUUGUGCAUGGGUGUCUGGCAAAGAGACAGUUCCUUCAGAAGUCUUCAAGGAAAAUAAAGCAAGAAAAUAUUUUGGUUAAUAAGUUAUAGAUUAAUAUCUGGAUAGUUAUUUUCCCAGCAAUGACAAUAACAGAGAUUCUGCUGUUCUUUUGUAGAAAUGGCUUCCAGAUGGGAAUCAUGGUCUACAGUCCAAGACUGAAUGUGAUUUAAUAAGUUUUUUAUCAGUAAAUUAUAUAAUAUUUCAGAAUAUGAACAUUGACACUGCACUGAUUCCCUCUACUUUUAGAUGGUUGUUUAUUCUCUUCUUUUGUUCAUUUCUGGUUACUACUGCCCAAGUCUUCUGAAUAUUUGUGAGUAUAAUCUGGAAGAAAAAAAUCACUAUUAUGUAAUAAGCACAUGACUGUGACUAUGUCAUAGUAAGACUUGGAGUAACAGGUUAGAAGACUGUGAUUUUUAAACACAGAGUAAGUUCAUUCAUAUGUUUUCUUUGUAGCAUCAGAAGAAGAUAUAGUUCAGGUUAUCAUGGGCUUUAACAUGGUGAGUUAGUAAUACUUAACUGGGGUAUAAUCACAUUCAAGGAUUUUUCUUUCUAAUUCGUGCAUUAUCUUUCUACAUCUUCAACCUCAAUCGACUCCCUCGUCAAGUAAUAUUUUGUCUUGAAAUUUCUCCUUUUAAAAUGUGUGAAUAUAUAAUAACACAGAAAAGGAAAGCUGUGAAGAAAGAUACUUUGGAGCACAGUUAUUUGGUUAUAUGAAUCAGUCAUGACUUGCUUUAAAAUGCUGAUUUUACAGGAGUCACUCAAGUACUGACACCGUAAGCCACAUUAAGUGUUUUGUAGCAGUACGGCCCUAUGUGCACAGACAAGAUUAAUGGCUGAUUCUCUUUAUAUCUCUUUUAUCUGAUUGAUGCUUCCCUGCAUCAAAAUUUUAUAUUUUGCUUGUGCGUGUAUUUUUCUGGGUAGAAGGAAUGUCUAUAAUUUUGAUGUUUACAUAAAAUGUGUUUGUUAAAUUUUUUGUUUGUUUUUUUCCUAGAACUGGAUGAUUUAUUCUAGAAGUAGUUAAUAUUCUGACUAAGCAUGGAAAUUCAGUUUUCAUACAAGCUUCCUAACUUUUUUAAAAAACUUGCCCAGUAGUUGAAUUACUUUUAUGAAUGAAUUAUAAGUAAAAAGUUAAUAUGGUUUUUGUACAGUCAUCAGAAAGAUACAGAAAUCUUUUAAGGGUUCAAUAUAAAUCAGACACCCCAAUUUCUAUUAUAAAAAUUAAUGGAACUUCCACAGUGAUAUUUUUCUCCAAAGCAGUAGAGAUUCCACUGAAAAACAAAAACAAACAAACAAAAAAACCUGAAUAUUUACCCAAAACAGUCUGUAUCAAGAGUGGACAAAGUGGUAAUACUACAAACCUCCCUUUGCACUUUAGAAAUGAUUUUGAAUUUCUGGUUAGUAAAACAGAAAAUGAGAAAUAAUUUUAAAAUGUAAGAAGAAAAAAUUGCCAGCUACUCUUAUUAGUUAGUGUGUUUAGACUGUGGUGAUAGACAUUGGAAACAACUUGAUAUUAAACGUAAACUGCAGACCAGUUUGUCUCAUACUGUGAUCGAAGAGUGUUUUCUACUUUCAUACAUAAACCUUUGCAAGUGCAUGCUACCGACGUGUCCACACUCCUUUUGCUUUCCUACUGGUUUUUAAAAAUUGUCCCCUUUAUUCAAGGAGGAAAAGGGAGAAAGGAUUGGGCUGUUUGUUUUGGGGUGGGAGUGUGAGUGGGAGAUUGUUUUAAAAUUAGAAGCAUCAGUAGUCUCCAUUUAGGGUUUUCUUUUCCUAGAGGAAAAAUGAGAGGUAUUGGUGGAAAGUAUUUUAGACUAUAAGUUGGCGAUAUUAAUCAGGAAAGAGAGUUUGGCUGUUUCAUGAAGACCGGUGUCUCACACUAGGUGCUGAUACAAACAAGCAAAAGAUACUACACUACAUAGUUAAAAGAAAAAAAAAAUGGAAAGAGAAUUUAAAAUCUCGUUCAGCUUGCAGUUAUCUCUGUGAUAGCCCCAUUUCACUCUCCAGGCAAUCACCAAUAGUAAUUCUGGAUAAUUCCCUGCAUACUUUUCUUGUGAAAGUAGGAUUAAAAAAAAAAUCCAAAUCACUUUUCCCCCGUUAUAUAAUGAGAAAGAAGGCCAAGAAAAGACAUCACGGUGCUUUCUCUUCUUUGUAGGUCAUUUUAAGGCAGAAAUUCAAGCACCUUGGAGUAAUCACGGGUUUUGAAUAGACUGCUUCUAUCAUUUAUGGUGGUAUGGUAAUAUUAUAUGGGAAAAUGUGAAAUUCUGAGAGGAGUAGAGACCAGAGUAAAGCCAAAUCGCUACAGGGUUCGAGCAGCAAUUGGCUGUAAAGUUAAUAUGGAGCAACAGUUGGAUGUUGCAAGGUUGAGCAUUAAUCCAGUGCCUGGUAGAAAAAUAAUUUAUCUCAGUUUCUGCCUCAUAGUGAUUGUACUAUGCAAGCUAUUGGGCAAAACACAAUUAAAAAGCAACCCUCUGUGAAGUCCAUAGAUUAUAUUUCAUGAUCCUGACAUCUUCAGUCAAUGUGAAGAUGAAAAAUACGUGCUGUAUGGAUGGGAAUAGCUCCCUCCCAAAUCCAUUUACAGUAGAAGUUCGAACUGGGGAGGAAAUUUGUCUUUUUAUCAAAAUUAUUUUUAUUGAGAAAAGCAGAAGUGCGUGUUACAUAUACAUGUCUUCUUGCAUAGUGUACAUUCUGAUACAGUUAAUUCAGCCAAUUUUCUGGUAUUAUUCUCAAAAUCUGUGCCAUGGAUAUUAGAGUCCUCCAUAUGGGUACAUUUAUUCCUCUGAUUUUUUCCAUUUCUUCUUAUUGUAAUAACUGUAGAAAAUCAAGCAUUUUAGUUGAAAUGUAGAGUCAUUAAGGUUAUUUUAGAGGAUCUGAAGCCCUCUCACGUUUUGUGUAGUUAGUUAUUUUGUUGUAGAAAGAGUUGCAUCUAGAUGUAUCUUCAUUUAUUUUUUAGCUCAAGCAGAGAUGGAAAUUAAAACUAUCUAUUUUGCAAAGCACUCUCUUCUUUCUUCUUUUUACAUCCAAUUUAUGCAUAAAUGAAUAUUUCAAUUUUUUUUACAGGAGGUGUGGGUUUCCAGCAAGCCUUCAACUCUGAAUGUUAAAUCUGGGGAUGAAGCAGGCUGCUUCUUCAAAAUGCAAAUACAUGCGCUGUGUUUAGACUGGGAAGAACAGCACUGAAUAUUUUGAAUGUUAUAAUGAAAUGCCACACUGGCUCUCAGCAGCCACCAUGCAGCUGCAUGUGCAGGACAUGAGCCAGAGGUGGGAGCAGCCCAUGAUGCCCAAAAGUGCAUCCAGGGUGCGCGGGCUGAAGGGUGCAGACCUGUCUUUCCCUGGGAUUAAAAGACGCCGGAGCUGGAAGUCGUGAGAAACUGAAGCAUUGGCACUCGGGAGGCUGACAGGACCAGGACAGCGGAGCCAAGUGAAUUCGGAUUUUACAGUCAGUCAAGCAGAGGUUUUUCUGAAUUGCUUUUGUGGAUUUGGAUCGCCUGAACUCCACUUUCAGUUCCUUACGUGCAUCCUGAGUGUGUGGCUCUGCGUUCCAACGAAAAUAUAGGCUACAUCUCAAAUAAACAAAAUGGAGGAAAUAAAUAAUGCUUUUUUCCAUUUUAGUAUGCGAUCUCAAGUCCUAAAAGAAAAAAUUUCAUGCAAUUUUCUGGUCACCUAAGGAACUAACACCUCCGGUGGAACUCAGCACACCUCUUCUAGUUACAUAAAACAGACACUUCCAAAUGCAAUGUUUUAUUAAGGUGUGAUUAACUAAGGGGGGGAUAGAAGAGUUUUCUGAAAAAAUAUGGUAAACUAAUAAAUGGCACAUUUAUUUUAAAAAAUUGUAAUUCUCCUUGGCAUUUGAUUACAGCAUGUGAGAUCAAGGAGUUACUGACAAAGUAUGUUUAAGCUGACAAAGCUAUUUAUGCUACAAAAAUCUGCAGUUACACACUUCCCUGCUCUUGUUCUGGCUUUGUAUGAAACCUGCUUUUCUUUUUUUUUUUUGCUUAUACUCUUAAGGAUAGCUCUGCAUAUGAAUUCUAUACAUUUUUUCAUAUAAUUUGUGAUUUUAUAAGAUAACACCACAUCACCAUAUAAACCAUUGUGUUUCAUUUUGAGAAUAAACAGAUAGGUGACUC